This 501-nucleotide ribosomal RNA is filed under the name uncultured bacterium. RNAcentral's name for it is "partial 16S ribosomal RNA". It matches the Rfam family "Bacterial small subunit ribosomal RNA", at positions 29 to 523 of the family's 1533-position model. The record is from RNAcentral.
AUUGAACGCUGGCGGCAUGCCUUACAUAUGCAAGUCGAACGGCAGCACGGGUGCUUGCACCUGGUGGCGAGUGGCGAACGGGUGAGUAAUACAUCGGAACGUACCUUAUCGUGGGGGAUAACGCAGCGAAAGCUGUGCUAAUACCGCAUACGCCCUGAGGGGGAAAGCGGGGGAUCGAAAGACCUCGCGCGAUUAGAGCGGGCGAUGCCUGAUUAGCUUGUUGGUGGGGUAAAAGCCCACCAAGGCGACGAUCAGUAGCUGGUCUGAGAGGACGAUCAGCCACACUGGGACUGAGACACGGACCAGACUCCUACGGGAGGCAGCAGUGGGGAAUUUUGGACAAUGGGGGCAACCCUGAUCCAGCAAUGCCGCGUGAGUGAAGAAGGCCUUCGGGUUGUAAAGCUCUUUUGUCAGGGAAGAAACACCGGCUCUAACACAGUCCGGGAAUGACGGUACCUGAAGAAUAAGCACCGGCUAACUACGUGCCAGCCGCCGCAGUAA